CGGCGGACGGGUGAGUAACACGUGGACAAUCUGCCCCCGGCCGGGAUAGCCCAGGGAAACCUGGAUUAAUACCGGAUGAGACGGGACCUGCGAUGGCGGGAUCCGGGAAAGGCGCUACGGCGCCGCCGGGGGGAUGAGUCUGCGUCCCAUUAGCUAGACGGCGGGGUAACGGCCCACCGUGGCGACGAUGGGUAGCCGGCCUGAGAGGGUGGACGGCCACAUUGGAACUGAGACACGGUCCAGACUCCUACGGGAGGCAGCAGCUAAGAAUCUUCCGCAAUGGGCGAAAGCCUGACGGAGCGAACCGCCGCGUGAACGAAGAAGGCCGUGAGGUUGUAAAGUUCUUUUCGGGAGGGGGAACAACCGUGGCAGGGAAUGGCCGCGGGAUGACGUGAAUCCCGGAAUAAGCCCCGGCUAACUACGUGCCAGCCGCCGC
RNAcentral lists this ribosomal RNA (436 nucleotides) under uncultured bacterium. Its description in RNAcentral is "bacterial SSU rRNA". It matches the Rfam family "Bacterial small subunit ribosomal RNA", at positions 96 to 518 of the family's 1533-position model. The record is from RNAcentral.